AGCUUUGCACAGUUGCAGUAUCGUAGCCAAUGAGGUUUAUCCAAGGUGUGAUUAUUGCUAAUUUAGAAAUAAUAAUAAUAAUAAUAAUAAAACUAUUAUGAUACCAUAACACUGUG
RNAcentral lists this small nuclear RNA (116 nucleotides) under Myotis lucifugus (little brown bat). Its description in RNAcentral is "U4 spliceosomal RNA". It matches the Rfam family "U4 spliceosomal RNA". From Rfam's summary of the family: U4 small nuclear RNA (U4 snRNA) is a component of the major U2-dependent spliceosome. The structure of U4 snRNA from yeast and human has been reported. Lineage: Eukaryota; Metazoa; Chordata; Mammalia; Chiroptera; Vespertilionidae. The record is from Rfam by way of RNAcentral.